UCCGAGUUGACCCCGGCAGUCUUCGAUGAGUCCCCGGCAUAACCCGCUGGCAACAUCGAACAAGGGUUGCGCUCGUUGCGGGACUUAACCCAACGUCUCACGACACGAGCUGACGACAGCCAUGCACCACCUGUGAACGCCCCCGAAGGACACCACAUCUCUAUGGUUUUAGCGCCCAUGUCAAACCCAGGUAAGGUUCUUCGCGUUGCAUCGAAUUAAACCACAUACUCCACUGCUUGUGCGGGUCCCCGUCAAUUCCUUUGAGUUUCAGUCUUGCGACCGUACUCCCCAGGCGGAUCACUUAACGCGUUAGCUUCGACACUGAAAGUCUUACGACUUCCAACACCUAGUGAUCAACGUUUACUGCGUGGACUAC
Molecule: unclassified non-coding RNA, 376 nt
Filed under: uncultured bacterium
Lineage: Bacteria
Description: contains 16S-23S intergenic spacer region
Source: RNAcentral